CACGUAGGGCGCAAGCGUUGUCCGGAAUUAUUGGGCGUAAAGAGCUCGUAGGCGGUCCGUCACGUCCGCUGUGAAAACCCAGGGCUCAACCCUGGGCUUGCAGUGGAUACGGGCAGACUAGAGGUAGGUAGGGGAGAAUGGAAUUCCCGGUGUAGCGGUGAAAUGCGCAGAUAUCGGGAGGAACACCGGUGGCGAAGGCGGUUCGCUGGGCCUUACCUGACGCUGAGGAGCGAAAGCGUGGGGAGCGAACAGG
Molecule: ribosomal RNA, 253 nt
Filed under: uncultured bacterium
Lineage: Bacteria
Description: partial 16S ribosomal RNA
Rfam family: Bacterial small subunit ribosomal RNA
Source: RNAcentral